GUUCCCAUACCGAACACGGAAGUUAAGCUCUUCAGCGCCGAUGGUAGUUGGGGGAUCUCCCCCUGUGAGAGUAGGACGUUGCCAGGC
RNAcentral lists this ribosomal RNA (87 nucleotides) under Bacillus sp. RO1. The record is from RNAcentral. Lineage: Bacteria; Bacillati; Bacillota; Bacilli; Caryophanales; Bacillaceae.